Long non-coding RNA from Amphimedon queenslandica, 235 nucleotides. RefSeq lists it as uncharacterized. The transcript has 3 exons. NCBI's taxonomy places the organism in Eukaryota, Metazoa, Porifera, Demospongiae, Haplosclerida, Niphatidae. The record is from RefSeq and is a predicted model, not a curated record.
UGAGACACCAACGUUUAAGUUGUUACUACUUACAAGGUUCACAAAUUGACCUAGAAUUCGGAAAAGGUAGAAGCUUUUCAGUUGGUUGUUUGGAGGAAAAAAGAUUAAUUUUAGAAACUUUUACUGAUUACAAUGAAGAAACUGCAGUGAUUAUUUAUCCAUGGGUGAAAGUUCGUAGUCAAGUCUACAAACCUGGUUAUGUUCUAAUUAAAGAAAAUAAAGAUGAUGUUCCUCA